GCCAGGAUAGCUCAGUUGGUUAGAGCGCAGGACUCAUAAGCCUGAGGUCGUGAGUUCGAACCUCACUCCUGGUA
Molecule: transfer RNA, 74 nt
Filed under: Candidatus Moraniibacteriota bacterium
Lineage: Bacteria; Candidatus Moraniibacteriota
Description: tRNA-Met
Rfam family: tRNA
About the family: Transfer RNA (tRNA) molecules are approximately 80 nucleotides in length. Their secondary structure includes four short double-helical elements and three loops (D, anti-codon, and T loops). Further hydrogen bonds mediate the characteristic L-shaped molecular structure. tRNAs have two regions of fundamental functional importance: the anti-codon, which is responsible for specific mRNA codon recognition, and the 3' end, to which the tRNAs corresponding amino acid is attached (by aminoacyl-tRNA synthetases). tRNAs cope with the degeneracy of the genetic code in two manners: having more than one tRNA (with a specific anti-codon) for a particular amino acid; and 'wobble' base-pairing, i.e. permitting non-standard base-pairing at the 3rd anti-codon position.
Source: RNAcentral